RNAcentral lists this long non-coding RNA (2283 nucleotides) under Daphnia magna. Its description in RNAcentral is "uncharacterized LOC116916802, transcript variant X9". Lineage: Eukaryota; Metazoa; Arthropoda; Branchiopoda; Diplostraca; Daphniidae. The record is from RNAcentral.
UAAGACCGAGCAUCGCCUACUGGAUUUCUCUCAGCCUUAUGGCGAUGAUAGCGGUCUUUACUUCGUAGUCUGUGGUCUUACGCCCACAUUUGAAAAAUUGACAAUGGAUAUCAGUCUGUGUGUCAAUCUGUGUGUUAAUAAUCUCGUUGUUACAGAAGAAUCGUAGAAUGGUUUAUUAAAAAAGGUGCUGCAGAGUCAAAUAUCAAUAGAAAAAGUAAUGUGACAGCCAAGUUAGUGGGUGUAGCUGAGCUAGAGCUACUAAAAGAAGAAAACUGAAGACUAAAAUAAAUUGUAUAAAAAAUAGGGAAACCACCAUAUUGUGAAUGGAUCUCUAAACUGUUUGGGCAGCUAUGGGGAAAAGAGAGAUUGAAGUGUGUCAGCAGCUAGCCUCCUUAAAAGAAAAAUUAAUUCAAAUGAAUACACAGUAUUCAAAACAGCUGGAAGCAUUAAGACAGAAAUGAAGUUCAAGGAAUUAGAUUUCGCGAAAAUACAUAACAAGUGCACGAAGAAUGAACAGAAUGCUAAAGCUAAACAAAAAGAAUAAAAUACUUCCAACCUCCCCCCACAAAGAUGUUUAAGGAAAUACCUAAAGUUGGAGGUCAAUACAUUUUUUUCUUGUUGCAAGUUUUGUAAAACAAAUGGUAAUCUGGUAAAAUAAAGCAACACAUGACCUAUCACCUUGGAUCAAUUGUUUUCACAAGUGAAGAUUGAUUCCACAAUCUUCAGCUUCCCAGGCAGACACCCAUCCACAAAGCCAUGGUGAUAGAUAUAAAAAAUUUAUCUUUUAUGUUUUUGAUUCCAGAUUCAGAGAACAAUGUGUGGAAUCUAAUAUUCUAGCCCUGUAAACCCCAGCUGUUCUUCUGCUUCAACAAGGCUAUAAAGCAAUUAUAAUUUCAGGAGGUCUUAAUUCAGUUUACGUGGCGGAUGCCCCACUAUACGACCCAGCAAUCUUUACUUGCGGUCUUCCAAUGCCGGUAAUUUGUUAUGCAUGCAAUUAAUCAACAAGGAAUUAGGCGGAAUGGUGGAGAGAAAAGAUGUUCGUGAAGAUGGGCUAUUCGAGAUCCAAGUAGAAACGGAGUGUCCAUUGUUUAAAGGCUUAGAGACUCGGCAAAUGGUAUUACUGAACAAUGGUGACAGCGUAGACAAGGUUUCACAUUGGAGAAACGCGAGCAGCAGUGUAUCGAUUACAUCCGGCGCACGGUCGGACGUGAUAAGAUCGUGCUCAUGCUGCACUUCUACGGGUGAUAACUCGUCGCGAGUGCAGGGCAUUUACAUCGAUAACGGUUUCCUGCGUAAAGACGAAUCCGAACAGGUCGUCGCUAGUUUAUAGCAACUCGGGUCAUUCUUCGGGUAAUUUGAGAUACUUUUCUGGACGGUUCAGGAUCUCGUGAAGUCAAAUAAAUAAAGAAAAAUUUAUUUUGCUUCAUUACUGCCAUUUAAAUUAUGAAAACCGAUUUCCUUUUAAUAAUUUUCACUUACGUGCUUACGUCAACGCGACUCUUAAAGCAGAUUACUAUUUAUUUUUUUAUUAUUAUUUUUAUACGUCUAGGUGGCUUGUUGCCACUGGUUGCAGCUUACGGGCCGUAAUUGUAAGGGCCCUUACACACCGUAACUAUUUCUUUUUUCUCACGUUUGGCUUCAUAGUGGGUGGCGCCUUGAGCGUUGCUGUAUUUUCAAGACAUCUAGGGGAGAAAUAACUAACUCCGUAGAAUGUUUAUGGACGUGUCAGCUGUCCCGUCAGCUGUUCCAUUUUGCGUGUCUUCGGACUGAUGGUGGAUGAUUAAACGAACGUCUCUGUUCUUGAAAUUUCACCACCAAUUCCGUGCGUUUUGAGAAGCAUCGCAAUUCAAUCAAUGCAAAGUUGUUCAAGGAGGACCAUGGCUUUGCUAGGACGUUUUUCAUCUCUGUUAGUCUUAUACACCCAUUUUGUACCAAAGGUGACAUGUGAAAAAAAGUUGUUCUUUAUAAUCUAUUUCCCUAUCUCAAUCUCUUAGAUUUUUGUAGGUGUUAUCAGGUGAUGUUAGAAUUUAUUGUUAAUAGUUUAAGGUUUUGUAAUUGUGCUUUCAGGUCUUUGGGAUGUACUGAUGUUCUGUGGUGGCCGCAAAAUCAUUCAGUGACUUGGUUCAAUCCAGGAUUUGGUUUUUUCAAAAGUGGUAAACAGUUUUAAUUUGCAGAGAUCCUGGAGGUACCUGAUGUGUUGCAUUAGCGUUGGAGUUGCUCGGUGAGAGAAUGGAAUGCAACCAAUGUUAUGUUGUUAGUGUAAAUAAAACAUAUCUAGUAUCA